This 464-nucleotide ribosomal RNA is filed under the name uncultured archaeon. RNAcentral describes it as "bacterial SSU rRNA". It matches the Rfam family "Archaeal small subunit ribosomal RNA", at positions 21 to 485 of the family's 1478-position model. The record is from RNAcentral.
AGGUCAUUGCUAUUGGAGUCCGAUUUAGCCAUGCUAGGUGCACGAGUUUGUACUCGUAGCAGAUAGCUCAGUAACACGUGGCCAAACUACCCUAUGGAUCCGGACAACCUCGGGAAACUGAGGCUAAUCCGGGAUACGGCUCUCAGCCUGGAAGUGGCGAGAGUCAGAAACGCUCCGGCGCCAUAGGAUGUGGCUGCGGCCGAUUAGGUAGACGGUGGGGUAACGGCCCACCGUGCCCAUAAUCGGUACGGGUUGUGAGAGCAAGAGCCCGGAGACGGUAUCUGAGACAAGAUACCGGGCCCUACGGGGCGCAGCAGGCGCGAAACCUUUACACUGCACGGGAGUGCGAUAGGGGGACUCCAAGUGCGAGGGCAUAUAGUCCUCGCUUUUUGCGACCGUAAGGAGGUCGCGGAAUAAGUGCUGGGCUAGACCGGUGCCUGCCGCCGCGGUUAUCCCGGCUGCAC